Molecule: small RNA, 602 nt
Filed under: Colletotrichum acutatum
Lineage: Eukaryota; Fungi; Ascomycota; Sordariomycetes; Glomerellales; Glomerellaceae
Description: eukaryotic LSU rRNA
Rfam family: 5.8S ribosomal RNA (bases 242-395)
Source: RNAcentral
UUAGAGGAAGUAAAAGUCGUAACAAGGUCUCCGUUGGUGAACCAGCGGAGGGAUCAUUACUGAGUUACCGCUCUAUAACCCUUUGUGAACAUACCUAACCGUUGCUUCGGCGGGCAGGGGAAGCCUCUCGCGGGCCUCCCCUCCCGGCGCCGGCCCCCACCACGGGGACGGGGCGCCCGCCGGAGGAAACCAAACUCUAUUUACACGACGUCUCUUCUGAGUGGCACAAGCAAAUAAUUAAAACUUUUAACAACGGAUCUCUUGGUUCUGGCAUCGAUGAAGAACGCAGCGAAAUGCGAUAAGUAAUGUGAAUUGCAGAAUUCAGUGAAUCAUCGAAUCUUUGAACGCACAUUGCGCUCGCCAGCAUUCUGGCGAGCAUGCCUGUUCGAGCGUCAUUUCAACCCUCAAGCACCGCUUGGUUUUGGGGCCCCACGGCACACGUGGGCCCUUAAAGGUAGUGGCGGACCCUCCCGGAGCCUCCUUUGCGUAGUAACUAACGUCUCGCACUGGGAUUCGGAGGGACUCUUGCCGUAAAACCCCCAAAUUUUUUACAGGUUGACCUCGGAUCAGGUAGGAAUACCCGCUGAACUUAAGCAUAUCAA